GCUAGGACGAACGCUGGCGGCGUGCCUAACACAUGCAAGUCGAGCGAGGAGAUCCUUCGGGAUGAUCCUAGCGGCGGACGGGUGAGUAACACGUGGGCAACCUGCCUCAUAGAGAGGAAUAGCCUUCCGAAAGGGAGAUUAAUACCUCAUAACAUUGCAGUUUCGCAUGGAACAGCAAUUAAAGGAGCAAUCCACUAUGAGAUGGGCCCGCGGCGCAUUAGCUAGUUGGUGAGGUAACGGCUCACCAAGGCGACGAUGCGUAGCCGACCUGAGAGGGUGAUCGGCCACAUUGGGACUGAGACACGGCCCAGACUCCUACGGGAGGCAGCAGUGGGGAAUAUUGCACAAUGGGGGAAACCCUGAUGCAGCCAACGCCGCGUGAGUGAUGACGGCCUUCGGGUUGUAAAGCUCUGUCUUCAGGGACGAUAAUGACGGUACCUGAGGAGGAAGCCACGGCUAACUACGUGCCAGCAGCAGC
This 478-nucleotide ribosomal RNA is filed under the name uncultured bacterium. Its description in RNAcentral is "bacterial SSU rRNA". It matches the Rfam family "Bacterial small subunit ribosomal RNA", at positions 26 to 518 of the family's 1533-position model. The record is from RNAcentral.